AAAAAAGUUUUUCUUUUUUAAUCUUUUUAUGACAAUUCAAGUAUUGUGGUCACAAGAAACAUGUUAUAUUUUUUUUAUCUUCAAAAGCAAUGUUAAUUA
Melanotaenia boesemani (Boeseman's rainbowfish) is the source of this 99-nucleotide long non-coding RNA. RefSeq lists it as uncharacterized. The record is from RefSeq and is a predicted model, not a curated record. NCBI's taxonomy places the organism in Eukaryota, Metazoa, Chordata, Actinopteri, Atheriniformes, Melanotaeniidae. The transcript is spliced from 4 exons.